RNAcentral lists this ribosomal RNA (497 nucleotides) under uncultured bacterium. Its description in RNAcentral is "partial 16S ribosomal RNA". It matches the Rfam family "Bacterial small subunit ribosomal RNA", at positions 28 to 507 of the family's 1533-position model. The record is from RNAcentral.
GAUGAACGCUGGCGGCGUGCCUAAUACAUGCAAGUCGAGCGAACAGACGAGGAGCUUGCUCCUCUGACGUUAGCGGCGGACGGGUGAGUAACACGUGGAUAACCUACCUAUAAGACUGGGAUAACUUCGGGAAACCGGAGCUAAUACCGGAUAAUAUAUUGAACCGCAUGGUUCAAUAGUGAAAGACGGUUUUGCUGUCACUUAUAGAUGGAUCCGCGCCGCAUUAGCUAGUUGGUAAGGUAACGGCUUACCAAGGCGACGAUGCGUAGCCGACCUGAGAGGGUGAUCGGCCACACUGGAACUGAGACACGGUCCAGACUCCUACGGGAGGCAGCAGUAGGGAAUCUUCCGCAAUGGGCAAAAGCCUUACGGAGCAACGCCGCGUGAGUGAUGAAGGUCUUCGGAUCGUAAAACUCUGUUAUUAGGGAAGAACAAAUGUGUAAGUAACUAUGCACGUCUUGACGGUACCUAAUCAGAAAGCCACGGCUAACUACGUG